Molecule: long non-coding RNA, 107 nt
Organism: Melitaea cinxia (Glanville fritillary)
Lineage: Eukaryota; Metazoa; Arthropoda; Insecta; Lepidoptera; Nymphalidae
Exons: 3
Source: RefSeq, a predicted model, not a curated record
AUUAGUUAAAAAUAUAAGUAUAUUUUAACUGAGUAGGGAACAGCAGGAAAUGUCCGGCUCAAAAUAUGGAGCAGCCCAACUUGCGUAGUACCUUGACCUUACAGAAG